ACCGGUGUGGCUCAACGGAUAGAGCGUCAGCCUGCGGACUGAAAGGUCCCAGGUUCGAUUCCUGUCAAGGGCA
Molecule: transfer RNA, 73 nt
Filed under: Myotis lucifugus (little brown bat)
Lineage: Eukaryota; Metazoa; Chordata; Mammalia; Chiroptera; Vespertilionidae
Rfam family: tRNA
About the family: Transfer RNA (tRNA) molecules are approximately 80 nucleotides in length. Their secondary structure includes four short double-helical elements and three loops (D, anti-codon, and T loops). Further hydrogen bonds mediate the characteristic L-shaped molecular structure. tRNAs have two regions of fundamental functional importance: the anti-codon, which is responsible for specific mRNA codon recognition, and the 3' end, to which the tRNAs corresponding amino acid is attached (by aminoacyl-tRNA synthetases). tRNAs cope with the degeneracy of the genetic code in two manners: having more than one tRNA (with a specific anti-codon) for a particular amino acid; and 'wobble' base-pairing, i.e. permitting non-standard base-pairing at the 3rd anti-codon position.
Source: Rfam by way of RNAcentral